Molecule: ribosomal RNA, 773 nt
Filed under: Natrialba magadii
Lineage: Archaea; Methanobacteriati; Methanobacteriota; Halobacteria; Halobacteriales; Natrialbaceae
Description: bacterial SSU rRNA
Rfam family: Archaeal small subunit ribosomal RNA
Source: RNAcentral
CUGGAGUGGAGAGAGUCCGAAAUGCUCCGGCGCCAUAGGAUGUGGCUGCGGCCGAUUAGGUAGACGGUGGGGUAACGGCCCACCGUGCCAGUAAUCGGUACGGGUUGUGAGAGCAAGAGCCCGGAGACGGUAUCUGAGACAAGAUACCGGGCCCUACGGGGCGCAGCAGGCGCGAAACCUUUACACUGCACGCCAGUGCGAUAAGGGGACUCCAAGUGCGAGGGCAUAUAGUCCUCGCUUUUUGCGACCGUAAGGUGGUCGCGGAAUAAGUGCUGGGCAAGACCGGUGCCAGCCGCCGCGGUAAUACCGGCAGCACAAGUGAUGACCGCUGUUAUUGGGCCUAAAGCGUCCGUAGCUGGCCGCGCAAGUCCAUCGGGAAAUCUCUCCGCUUAACGGAGAGGCGUCCGGUGGAAACUGUGUGGCUUGGGACCGGAAGACCAGAGGGGUACGUCUGGGGUAGGAGUGAAAUCCCGUAAUCCUGGACGGACCACCGGUGGCGAAAGCGCCUCUGGAAGACGGAUCCGACGGUGAGGGACGAAAGCUCGGGUCACGAACCGGAUUAGAUACCCGGGUAGUCCGAGCUGUAAACGAUGUCUGCUAGGUGUGACACAGGCUACGAGCCUGUGUUGUGCCGUAGGAAGCCGUGAAGCAGACCGCCUGGGAAGUACGUCCGCAAGGAUGAAACUUAAAGGAAUUGGCGGGGGAGCACUACAACCGGAGGAGCCUGCGGUUUAAUUGGACUCAACGCCGGACAUCUCACCAGCAUCGACAAU